Molecule: ribosomal RNA, 433 nt
Filed under: uncultured bacterium
Lineage: Bacteria
Description: partial 16S ribosomal RNA
Rfam family: Bacterial small subunit ribosomal RNA
Source: RNAcentral
AACGAACGCUGGCGGCAUGCCUAACACAUGCAAGUCGAACGAGACCUUCGGGUCUAGUGGCGCACGGGUGCGUAACGCGUGGGAACCUGCCCUUAGGUUCGGAAUAACUCCCCGAAAGGGGUGCUAAUACCGGAUAAUGUCUUCGGACCAAAGAUUUAUCGCCUUUGGAUGGGCCCGCGUUGGAUUAGCUAGUUGGUAGGGUAAAAGCCUACCAAGGCGACGAUCCAUAGCUGGUCUGAGAGGAUGAUCAACCACACUGGGACUGAGACACGGCCCAGACUCUUACGGGAGGCAGCAGUGGGGAAUAUUGGACAAUGGGCGAAAGCCUGAUCCAGCAAUGCCGCGUGAGUGAUGAAGGCCUUAGGGUUGUAAAGCUCUUUUACCCGGGAUGAUAAUGACAGUACCGGGAGAAUAAGCUCCGGCUAACUCCGUG